UGCGGGGUGGAGCAGUGGCAGCUCGUUGGGCUCAUAACCCAAAGGUCACAGGUUCAAGUCCUGUCCCCGCUA
This 72-nucleotide transfer RNA is filed under the name Chloroflexota bacterium. Its description in RNAcentral is "Chloroflexi bacterium (anaerobic digester metagenome) tRNA-Met". It matches the Rfam family "tRNA". Rfam says of the family: Transfer RNA (tRNA) molecules are approximately 80 nucleotides in length. Their secondary structure includes four short double-helical elements and three loops (D, anti-codon, and T loops). The record is from RNAcentral. Lineage: Bacteria; Bacillati; Chloroflexota.